RNAcentral lists this ribosomal RNA (393 nucleotides) under uncultured bacterium. Its description in RNAcentral is "partial 16S ribosomal RNA". It matches the Rfam family "Bacterial small subunit ribosomal RNA", at positions 523 to 918 of the family's 1533-position model. The record is from RNAcentral.
AUACGGAGGAUCCGAGCGUUAUCCGGAUUUAUUGGGUUUAAAGGGAGCGUAGGCGGGAGAUCAAGUCAGCUGUGAAAUGUAUGCGCUCAACGUGUGCACUGCAGUUGAAACUGGUUUUCUUGAGUGCGGAAGGGGCACGCGGAAUUCGUCGUGUAGCGGUGAAAUGCUUAGAUAUGACGAAGAACUCCGAUCGCGAAGGAAGUUGGCCGGGCCGCAACUGACGCUGAAGCUCGAAGGUGCGGGUAUCGAACAGGAUUAGAUACCCUGGUAGUCCGCACAGUAAACGAUGGAUACUCGCUGUCGGCGAUAUACGGUCGGUGGCCAAGCGAAAGCGUUAAGUAUCCCACCUGGGGAGUACGCCGGCAACGGUGAAACUCAAAGGAAUUGGCGGGG